This 682-nucleotide ribosomal RNA is filed under the name uncultured Alphaproteobacteria bacterium. Its description in RNAcentral is "bacterial SSU rRNA". It matches the Rfam family "Bacterial small subunit ribosomal RNA", at positions 28 to 758 of the family's 1533-position model. Lineage: Bacteria; Pseudomonadati; Pseudomonadota; Alphaproteobacteria. The record is from RNAcentral.
AACGAACGCUGGCGGCAUGCCUAACACAUGCAAGUCGAACGAAGGCUUCGGCCUUAGUGGCGCACGGGUGAGUAACACGUGGGAACCUGCCUUUCGGUUCGGAAUAACGUUUGGAAACGAACGCUAACACCGGAUACGCCCUAUGGGGGAAAGUUUACGCCGAGAGAGGGGCCCGCGUCGGAUUAGGUAGUUGGUGAGGUAAAGGCUCACCAAGCCUUCGAUCCGUAGCUGGUCUGAGAGGAUGAUCAGCCACACUGGGACUGAGACACGGCCCAGACUCCUACGGGAGGCAGCAGUGGGGAAUAUUGGACAAUGGGCGCAAGCCUGAUCCAGCAAUGCCGCGUGAGUGAUGAAGGCCUUAGGGUUGUAAAGCUCUUUCGCACGCGACGAUGAUGACGGUAGCGUGAGAAGAAGCCCCGGCUAACUUCGUGCCAGCAGCCGCGGUAAUACGAAGGGGGCUAGCGUUGUUCGGAAUUACUGGGCGUAAAGGGCGCGUAGGCGGCCUGUUUAGUCAGAAGUGAAAGCCCCGGGCUCAACCUGGGAAUAGCUUUUGAUACUGGCAGGCUUGAGUUCCGGAGAGGAUGGUGGAAUUCCCAGUGUAGAGGUGAAAUUCGUAGAUAUUGGGAAGAACACCGGUGGCGAAGGCGGCCAUCUGGACGGACACUGACGCUGAGGCGCGAAA